GGUUAAGCGACUAAGCGUACACGGUGGAUGCCCUGGCAGUCAGAGGCGAUGAAGGACGUGCUAAUCUGCGAUAAGCGUCGGUAAGGUGAUAUGAACCGUUAUAACCGGCGAUUUCCGAAUGGGGAAACCCAGUGUGUUUCGACACACUAUCAUUAACUGAAUCCAUAGGUUAAUGAGGCGAACCGGGGGAACUGAAACAUCUAAGUACCCCGAGGAAAAGAAAUCAACCGAGAUUCCCCCAGUAGCGGCGAGCGAACGGGGAGGAGCCCAGAGCCUGAAUCAGUGUGUGUGUUAGUGGAAGCGUCUGGAAAGGCGCGCGAUACAGGGUGACAGCCCCGUACACAAAAAUGCACAUAUUGUGAGCUCGAUGAGUAGGGCGGGACACGUGGUAUCCUGUCUGAAUAUGGGGGGACCAUCCUCCAAGGCUAAAUACUCCUGACUGACCGAUAGUGAACCAGUACCGUGAGGGAAAGGCGAAAAGAACCCCGGCGAGGGGAGUGAAAAAGAACCUGAAACCGUGUACGUACAAGCAGUGGGAGCCUCUUUAUGGGGUGACUGCGUACCUUUUGUAUAAUGGGUCAGCGACUUAUAUUCUGUAGCAAGGUUAACCGAAUAGGGGAGCCGAAGGGAAACCGAGUCUUAACUGGGCGUUAAGUUGCAGGGUAUAGACCCGAAACCCGGUGAUCUAGCCAUGGGCAGGUUGAAGGUUGGGUAACACUAACUGGAGGACCGAACCGACUAAUGUUGAAAAAUUAGCGGAUGACUUGUGGCUGGGGGUGAAAGGCCAAUCAAACCGGGAGAUAGCUGGUUCUCCCCGAAAGCUAUUUAGGUAGCGCCUCGUGAAUUCAUCUCCGGGGGUAGAGCACUGUUUCGGCAAGGGGGUCAUCCCGACUUACCAACCCGAUGCAAACUGCGAAUACCGGAGAAUGUUAUCACGGGAGACACACGGCGGGUGCUAACGUCCGUCGUGAAGAGGGAAACAACCCAGACCGCCAGCUAAGGUCCCAAAGUCAUGGUUAAGUGGGAAACGAUGUGGGAAGGCCCAGACAGCCAGGAUGUUGGCUUAGAAGCAGCCAUCAUUUAAAGAAAGCGUAAUAGCUCACUGGUCGAGUCGGCCUGCGCGGAAGAUGUAACGGGGCUAAACCAUGCACCGAAGCUGCGGCAGCGACGCUUAUGCGUUGUUGGGUAGGGGAGCGUUCUGUAAGCCUGUGAAGGUGUACUGUGAGGUAUGCUGGAGGUAUCAGAAGUGCGAAUGCUGACAUAAGUAACGAUAAAGCGGGUGAAAAGCCCGCUCGCCGGAAGACCAAGGGUUCCUGUCCAACGUUAAUCGGGGCAGGGUGAGUCGACCCCUAAGGCGAGGCCGAAAGGCGUAGUCGAUGGGAAACAGGUUAAUAUUCCUGUACUUGGUGUUACUGCGAAGGGGGGACGGAGAAGGCUAUGUUGGCCGGGCGACGGUUGUCCCGGUUUAAGCGUGUAGGCUGGUUUUCCAGGCAAAUCCGGAAAAUCAAGGCUGAGGCGUGAUGACGAGGCACUACGGUGCUGAAGCAACAAAUGCCCUGCUUCCAGGAAAAGCCUCUAAGCAUCAGGUAACAUCAAAUCGUACCCCAAACCGACACAGGUGGUCAGGUAGAGAAUACCAAGGCGCUUGAGAGAACUCGGGUGAAGGAACUAGGCAAAAUGGUGCCGUAACUUCGGGAGAAGGCACGCUGAUAUGUAGGUGAAGNNNNNNNNNNNNNNNNNNNNNNNNNNNNNNNNNNNNNNNNNNNNNNNNNNNNNNNNNNNNNNNNNNNNNNNNNNNNNNNNNNNNNNNNNNNNNNNNNNNNNGCGAAGCUCUUGAUCGAAGCCCCGGUAAACGGCGGCCGUAACUAUAACGGUCCUAAGGUAGCGAAAUUCCUUGUCGGGUAAGUUCCGACCUGCACGAAUGGCGUAAUGAUGGCCAGGCUGUCUCCACCCGAGACUCAGUGAAAUUGAACUCGCUGUGAAGAUGCAGUGUACCCGCGGCAAGACGGAAAGACCCCGUGAACCUUUACUAUAGCUUGACACUGAACAUUGAGCCUUGAUGUGUAGGAUAGGUGGGAGGCUUUGAAGUGUGGACGCCAGUCUGCAUGGAGCCGACCUUGAAAUACCACCCUUUAAUGUUUGAUGUUCUAACGUUGGCCCCUUAUCGGGGUUGCGGACAGUGUCUGGUGGGUAGUUUGACUGGGGCGGUCUCCUCCUAAAGAGUAACGGAGGAGCACGAAGGUUGGCUAAUCCUGGUCGGACAUCAGGAGGUUAGUGCAAUGGCAUAAGCCAGCUUGACUGCGAGCGUGACGGCGCGAGCAGGUGCGAAAGCAGGUCAUAGUGAUCCGGUGGUUCUGAAUGGAAGGGCCAUCGCUCAACGGAUAAAAGGUACUCCGGGGAUAACAGGCUGAUACCGCCCAAGAGUUCAUAUCGACGGCGGUGUUUGGCACCUCGAUGUCGGCUCAUCACAUCCUGGGGCUGAAGUAGGUCCCAAGGGUAUGGCUGUUCGCCAUUUAAAGUGGUACGCGAGCUGGGUUUAGAACGUCGUGAGACAGUUCGGUCCCUAUCUGCCGUGGGCGCUGGAGAACUGAGGGGGGCUGCUCCUAGUACGAGAGGACCGGAGUGGACGCAUCACUGGUGUUCGGGUUGUCAUGCCAAUGGCACUGCCCGGUAGCUAAAUGCGGAAGAGAUAAGUGCUGAAAGCAUCUAAGCACGAAACUUGCCCCGAGAUGAGUUCUCCCUGACCCUUUAAGGGUCCUGAAGGAACGUUGAAGACGACGACGUUGAUAGGCCGGGUGUGUAAGCGCAGCGAUGCGUUGAGCUAACCGGUACUAAUGAACCGUGAGGCUUAACCUU
Molecule: ribosomal RNA, 2856 nt
Filed under: Escherichia coli
Lineage: Bacteria; Pseudomonadati; Pseudomonadota; Gammaproteobacteria; Enterobacterales; Enterobacteriaceae
Description: 23S ribosomal RNA
Rfam family: Bacterial large subunit ribosomal RNA
Source: RNAcentral